This 761-nucleotide ribosomal RNA is filed under the name Prevotella melaninogenica. Its description in RNAcentral is "bacterial SSU rRNA". It matches the Rfam family "Bacterial small subunit ribosomal RNA", at positions 28 to 776 of the family's 1533-position model. The record is from RNAcentral. Lineage: Bacteria; Pseudomonadati; Bacteroidota; Bacteroidia; Bacteroidales; Prevotellaceae.
GAUGAACGCUAGCUACAGGCUUAACACAUGCAAGUCGAGGGGAAACGGCAUUGAGUGCUUGCACUCUUUGGACGUCGACCGGCGCACGGGUGAGUAACGCGUAUCCAACCUUCCCAUUACUGUGGGAUAACCUGCCGAAAGGCAGACUAAUACCGCAUAGUCUUCGAUGACGGCAUCAGAUUUGAAGUAAAGAUUUAUCGGUAAUAGAUGGGGAUGCGUCUGAUUAGCUUGUUGGCGGGGUAACGGCCCACCAAGGCUACGAUCAGUAGGGGUUCUGAGAGGAAGGUCCCCCACAUUGGAACUGAGACACGGUCCAAACUCCUACGGGAGGCAGCAGUGAGGAAUAUUGGUCAAUGGACGGAAGUCUGAACCAGCCAAGUAGCGUGCAGGAUGACGGCCCUAUGGGUUGUAAACUGCUUUUGUAUGGGGAUAAAGUUAGGGACGUGUCCCUAUUUGCAGGUACCAUACGAAUAAGGACCGGCUAAUUCCGUGCCAGCAGCCGCGGUAAUACGGAAGGUCCAGGCGUUAUCCGGAUUUAUUGGGUUUAAAGGGAGCGUAGGCUGGAGAUUAAGUGUGUUGUGAAAUGUAGACGCUCAACGUCUGAAUUGCAGCGCAUACUGGUUUCCUUGAGUACGCACAACGUUGGCGGAAUUCGUCGUGUAGCGGUGAAAUGCUUAGAUAUGACGAAGAACUCCGAUUGCGAAGGCAGCUGACGGGAGCGCAACUGACGCUUAAGCUCGAAGGUGCGGGUAUCAAACAGG